This 72-nucleotide transfer RNA is filed under the name Hadesarchaea archaeon. Its description in RNAcentral is "tRNA-His". It matches the Rfam family "tRNA". Rfam says of the family: Transfer RNA (tRNA) molecules are approximately 80 nucleotides in length. Their secondary structure includes four short double-helical elements and three loops (D, anti-codon, and T loops). The record is from RNAcentral. RNAcentral also lists the same sequence under 1 other name. Lineage: Archaea; Methanobacteriati; Hadarchaeota (SeqCode); Hadarchaeia (SeqCode).
GCCGAGGUGGUGUAGCGGUCAACAUCGGGGACUGUGGAUCCCCUGACCCGGGUUCGAAUCCCGGCCUCGGCC